This 446-nucleotide ribosomal RNA is filed under the name uncultured bacterium. RNAcentral's name for it is "bacterial SSU rRNA". It matches the Rfam family "Bacterial small subunit ribosomal RNA", at positions 331 to 793 of the family's 1533-position model. The record is from RNAcentral.
CCAGACUCCUACGGGAGGCAGCAGUGGGGAAUAUUGGGCAAUGGACGCAAGUCUGACCCAGCAACGCCGCGUGAAGGAAGAAGGCUUUCGGGUUGUAAACUUCUUUUAAGGGGGAAGAGCAGAAGACGGUACCCCUUGAAUAAGCCACGGCUAACUACGUGCCAGCAGCCGCGGUAAUACGUAGGUGGCAAGCGUUAUCCGGAAUGAUUGGGCGUAAAGGGUGCGCAGGCGGCGUGGCAAGUCUGAAGUGAAAGGUACGGGCUCAACCUGUACAGGCUUUGGAAACUGCCGCGCUCGAGGACAGGAGAGGGCGGUGGAACUCCAUGUGUAGCGGUAAAAUGCGUAGAUAUAUGGAAGAACACCAGUGGCGAAGGCGGCCGCCUGGACUGUUACUGACGCUCAGGCACGAAAGCGUGGGGAGCAAAUAGGAUUAGAUACCCUCGUAU